Molecule: non-coding RNA, 47 nt
Filed under: Trichobilharzia regenti
Lineage: Eukaryota; Metazoa; Platyhelminthes; Trematoda; Strigeidida; Schistosomatidae
Source: RNAcentral
GUACUACUGAGGAGUUCCAAACUAGGACGAAGCAAGCUGUCCAGUAC